Megachile rotundata (alfalfa leafcutting bee) is the source of this 1409-nucleotide long non-coding RNA. The record is from RefSeq and is a predicted model, not a curated record. Lineage: Eukaryota; Metazoa; Arthropoda; Insecta; Hymenoptera; Megachilidae.
GAGCGAAUUUACGCUAUAUUCUUACAUUUGUUAUCUAAGUCACUAAAUAGUGACUAAUGCAAGUUGCAAUGUCAUUUAUACCACAAACGAGAUUAUGUCAAGCCAACUGGGGUUGCCAAUGUAUACUAAAAUGAUUAAAUAAUUAUAUUUAUAAUCUGCAAUAAUAUAAAACUUAAAAAUUAUUUGAUUAGUUGUCCAUAUGAGCUAUUUUGGGUUACAUAAUUUUUUCUGCAAAGCUAUAUAGUUCCUAUCAAAGAACUACUCAUAUUCAUCAAAAUUUUUAUAAUGUUGAAUUGUUAUAUUUUUCAUUUUUUUUUUCAAAGUUAAUUUAUUCGUGUACUCAGUUGAAUUCAAUUAAAUUUAAUUAAAAUUCUUUUUAUCAUAGUGGUUGUAUCAUCAAUUCGCUUAUGGGUAAUAUUCUUUAUAAAACUUUAUACUUUCUCAGUUUAUAUAAAAGUAAAGAAGAGUAUUUUGUUAUUGUAAAUUAAUUAAAUUAAUAAACCGAAAGUAAAUCUUAUUUUUUUAUGACUUGUAAUUUAAUAUCAUUAUGAAGUUUGAAAAUAGUUAGCGUUAGCGCCAUGUUGUGAUCGACGACGAAGCUAACCGACAAUGGAAUUUUGCACUGUGUGGCGCUAGUUAAAUGUUCUACAGCUAAGUGCAAUUUAAACAAUGAUCGAUUGACCUGACUUUAAACAGAUGAUAUAAAAAGAAGGAAGCCACAUAGUGGGGCAACUAUAGAAUUAUAAAUAUGAAAAUGAAAUUUAUGUAGUAUAUUUGCUUCGUUGAAUAAAUUAUUUUGCAAUAACAUGAUGCUCUUCUUUAUUGCUGCUCACGAAAAUUGCUUUUUACAAUAAAAUAAUAUUUGGUUAUAUAGAAGAUCAUUCCAUUAUUUCACAAUUCCAAAAAACAAUUUCUAUGAACACAUAUGCACACGGUUAUUGGGAAAUGCUAUUUUAUUUAAUAUUAGGCGAGCGAUAUCAGUUUUUUAUUUACACAUAUAAUUCAAUAAAUACAAUGAAAACAAAAACAUAUUUAUAUCAUAUAAAUUAUAAGGGUUUCAUGCAUAACAAUUACAAAUGAUUAUUAGUAGUACAGUGAAUACAGAAUGUACAGAUGUGCGUAUGGUUACAUAUUAUUCUAACUAAAUAAUUGUAAUAGUAUUAUAUGUACAUUUAAAUAUACGUAUGCACGAUUAUAUAGAUACAGGUUCCUCGUACGAAAUCAAUGUAUCACAGUUCAAAAAUAUGCAUAUUUAAAAGAGAACUGUUUUAAAUGUUAUCGGUAUAAAUUUGCGUUAAUGAAAAUCUAAAGUCCACGAAUAUAAAAAUGAACAGAAAGAGUUUAAGAUGUGAGCAAAAUUUUUUAAGGAAUUACCAUGAAUAACAUUAACAGUGGUUUUAAUUAUUUAA